CACAGUACUUACAGCGGGGCCGGGUGGCCAAGAAUGAGAGGGACUCUGAAAGAUCUGCUGACGUGUACGUUUAGCAGCGAGCCUUGCCCAAGGAGCCAACGCCGAUCUUCAGGUAUAUCAGGAAACAAUGUGCGGGGUGGCAAGGAGUGGUGUGGGCUGGACGGGGAUGUCGGGGACACAGGCUGCGGGGGUGUCGGGACGGAGGCGGGGGAGGGUUCCGACGCCGGGGACCAGCUGGAGGGGACGGACACAACUCCGGACGACGCUCUUCACCUCCAGAGACGGGUGGGACUCCUCAGUGGGGUGGCUCUAAUCGUCGGAACUAUGAUCGGGUCUGGGAUUUUCGUAUCGCCGUCUGGCUUGUUGAUCCGCACGGGAUCGGUCGGGAUGAGUUUCGUCAUCUGGAUAGCAUGCGGCGUCUUGUCGCUUUUAGGUGCACUGGCCUACGCUGAGCUGGGAACUAUGAACACGAGUUGUGGUGCCGAAUACGCGUACUUCAUGGAUGCGUUCGGUCCACUUCCAGCAUUCCUGUUCUCUUGGGUGUCCACACUGGUGCUCAAACCCUCUCAGAUGGCCAUCAUCUGCCUCAGCUUCGCCAAGUACGCUGUUGAAGCCUUCGUCUCCGAGUGUGAACCACCCGACACUGUCGUUAAACUGGUCUCUGUACUGUCUAUAUUGGUGAUCAUGUACAUCAACUGCUACAGUGUGAACCUGGCGACCGGAGUUAUGAACGCGUUCACAGCUGCAAAGCUGAUCGCCAUCCUCAUAGUCAUUGUUGGAGGCGCAUGGAAACUUCUAGAAGGUAACACACAAAAUCUAGAACAGCCGUUCCAAGGGACGACUUCGUCCAUUGGCAACAUCGCAACAGCCUUCUACACCGGGUUGUGGGCGUAUGACGGCUGGAACAACUUAAACUAUGUCACGGAAGAAAUAAAAAAUCCAUCAAAGAAUCUUCCUAGAGCAAUAAUCAUCGGCAUCCCACUAGUGACGGUCUGUUACGUGCUGAUAAACAUCUCCUACUUGGCCGUAAUGUCUGCGGCAGAAAUGGUCGAGUCGGAGGCGGUUGCUGUUACUUUUGGCAACCGAAUCCUCGGCCUCAUGGCAUGGCUGAUGCCUUUGUCCGUCACAAUUUCAACGUUCGGCUCAGCCAAUGGAACUCUCUUUGCAGCUGGAAGACUGUGUUUUGCAGCCAGCAGAGAGGGACAUCUGAUGGGGGUCCUGUCUUACGUACAUGUAAGGAGGAUGACACCUGCCCCUGGACUAAUAUUCCAUUCUCUCAUAGCAAUAGCAAUGGUGCUGUCGGGGACAAUCAACUCCUUGAUAGACUUCUUUAGCUUCACGGCUUGGAUCUUCUACGGAGGAGCGAUGUUGGCGUUGAUAGUGAUGAGGUUCACCAGACCAAACUUCCCCAGGCCCUACAAGGUGCCUAUUAUCAUUCCAGUUUUGGUCCUGGUAAUCUCUACGUAUCUCGUCAUAGCUCCCAUCAUAGACACACCCCAAGUCGAGUACUUGUACGCGUGUCUCUUCAUCAUAGCAGGCCUCCUGUUCUACAUACCCUUCGUACACUUCAAGUACAACCCAGCCAUCUUAGGUAAGUACCUCUUUUCAAACUCUCUCAUUUCCUCAGUUAACAGGUACGUACUUGUUUGAAUAUGUUCGGAUUGAUUUCGUGAUUAGUCCGAAAUGUAAAUUCCAUGCGUUUUGUUUUAAAAUCCAGGCAAUGGGAACAGCACUGAUUGUGGAUUGAACAAAUGAUAGUUUAAAGCUACAGUAUUAACUAUUUAUUAAGUUAAUGUUUACGAAAAAGUGGAAUUGGGAUAGAGCUCUAAAGGGUUUUGAAAGUGAUAGGCAUCAUACGUUAAAUUGAUUUGUUCUUUAAACUAAAUAUUGGUUAGGCCUGUAUAGUUUUUGGUUGGUUUAACGACAAACAAAGAUUUGCAGCUUUUAAUACUAAGAUAACUCAGGGUAUCAAAGGUAAUUUAUAAAUUAGGGUUCCUCUACAACAAACGGUAGACUCAUGGUUAUCCUAAGCUCAAAGAAAAACAGUCGAGAGAAAUUGAAAAAAUUAAAACUAGAUGGGUGUUUUGUGACUCUAUAUGAAACACUGACAUCAAUUUUAAAAUUAUUUUAUUUUAUUUAUUUUUUUUUUAACCAAAGGACUCUUUUUGUUUAAUGUUUGACUAUUGAUGUUCAACUAUUGAUUAAAGGAUAUUAACAUAUUUUUUUAAAAUUUAAUUGUUGGCAUGAAAAUUAAAGUUUUAUUUAGUCCUCUUCAACACGGGCUUAAAAAAAUAAAUUAUGAAAGUAGGCCUAGGCCUAUUUGGGGGAAGUAAUUUUUCCUGGUCCCUUUCAAUAUACUUUUAAGCAUAAUUAUCAGCAUCGCCCUAACCAGGAGAACUAUCUGUUCAACAAAAAUUUCCUUUAAUAAUCACGAGUCUACUAGAGUACAAAAUAAUUUAAAAAAAUUCCAAAACUAAAUGCUUAGAGCUGAGUCAAUGAAUCCGACAUGCUUUAUAUUUUUAUUUGCUCAUCCCUCCCAUCAUAUUAAGUUUCUCAUUAACUGAGUACGUUGCUGCUACGGUGGUCGAGGUAGUUUAGGUCUAAGUACGUAGUUGUUGUGCUGGCGACAGUUUGCUGGCGACAAUUUCCUUUCAGAGUGGCCGAUUGUUGUCCGCCUCAGCCAAGUGCGGUGGUUGGCAGCAUCGACCUCCUCUGAUAGUGUCACAGUAUUCUGUCAACUACUACUAGAGGUGGCCCCUACCCAGAGCGUAGUCUAUGAUUAAUACGUCAUCGUCUAUCUAUGGGUGUCUAAUUAAGUUUUAUAAUAGUUACUCUACAAAAGUGGAAACCGGUUUUGUACAAGAUGAUUUUCAUCGAGGCUGUGCAAUUUGAACAAUUAAAAUUAUUUAUCAAAGGUGCAUUUAAUCAUGGAACAGGAUUUAUAUUUUACCUAAAAAUAUAUCAUUUUUACAAGUGGUAAAUUUUUACCCAUACCGAAGCAUAAAUUUCAUUUUUAAAUAUUGAAAUUUUAUCAGUAAAGAUUGCGUUGUUGUGACAUAAGAAAUAAUUUUUGUUUACUUAAAAUGAGCAUAUUGUUUGACAUUUAGAGAACUAACUAGAGAUGUAAUCUGUGAUAACGAAACUAGACUUAAAAUUUAGAAGAAUUAUUCUUUCUAAUACAAAUAGUUUUAAAUCCAACUAAAUUGAUUCAAUGUUAUCACCCAAUUUUAUUACAGUUAUUACUUGUUGAAUUACAAUUUCACAAAGCUUUCUCAUGUUAUAGUGCAUAGGCCUACUUAACAAAAUUUUCUUGUAACUUAGUAGAGAAAAGAUAUUUUUCAAAGUUUUUCAUUGUCUUGAUAGUAAACAAAAUAAAUUGCUAAAAUGAACUUUUAACAAAGCAGUAUAAAAAAGAUACCAAUCAGUGCCAGAAAUCUCUGUAUCUAUUUAAUAGAUUUAUUUUUUUAUACCUACCCUCAACAUACAGAUUUGAAUAGCAAGAAUGUAGAAAUGUUUUUGAAUGUACAGGUAAAAAGUAAAAAUCAAAUAAAAGUAUCUUUCUUUUAUGUUUUUUAGUUAGCAAAAUGAAAUAAAAAACGCAAGUCAGGUAAAAAGUACACCUUUUCAACAAUAUUUUUUUGACAUAAACGGUUCAAAAUUUAUUCACAGAAGCAGACAUAUCAGUCUUAUUUAAAAAUUAGUGAAAGAGGCAUUUUUAUCGAGCAAUUUUACACGUGAUUCGGUUAGACAGUAUGCUGCGUGAAACGAGGUUAAAGAUUACGGAUAAUUAUUAGAAAUACCUUACAAUAUCAAUCCAAGCAAUGACUAUUCUUAGUUAGCCCGUCUAUCUAUGUCUGUCUUAUACUUGUGCUGUCUCUUUUUUGUAUCUUUUAGUAAAAUAUGACUAUUAUCUUUGUUUUAUGCUCUUGUUGAUAAACAGAAUAAUUGUAAUUUUUAUAAUGCUGUUUUAUAUCAAUCGAAUGUAAGAUUGUUACCAAACGGUUACUUGGAUUUCCCACCGAAAUAUCCGGAGGGAAUUCACAACUAAGAAUUGCACUCGGGUAAUAAAGUUGUUGGAAGAAUUUAUUAUUUUGUUACACAAGUGUUAAGUUAUUUUGAAAUAAAAGUUUUGUUAAUAAAAAUAA
Molecule: RNA transcript, 4145 nt
Organism: Macrosteles quadrilineatus (aster leafhopper)
Lineage: Eukaryota; Metazoa; Arthropoda; Insecta; Hemiptera; Cicadellidae
Gene name: b(0,+)-type amino acid transporter 1-like
Exons: 12
Source: RefSeq, a predicted model, not a curated record